Molecule: microRNA precursor, 106 nt
Filed under: Chlorocebus sabaeus (green monkey)
Lineage: Eukaryota; Metazoa; Chordata; Mammalia; Primates; Cercopithecidae
Description: miRNA (ENSCSAG00000024038.1)
Source: RNAcentral
UAAGCUAUUAUGUUGGUGCAAAAGUAAUCACGGCUUUUGCCAUUAAAAGCAGUGGGAAAAACCGUGAUUACUUUUGCGCCAACCCAGUAUGUUGUUUCACAGUGUG